Molecule: long non-coding RNA, 1741 nt
Organism: Nothobranchius furzeri (turquoise killifish)
Lineage: Eukaryota; Metazoa; Chordata; Actinopteri; Cyprinodontiformes; Nothobranchiidae
Source: RefSeq, a predicted model, not a curated record
GGUUCGUUCGUUCUGUCUCCAGGCUAGUGGCUAAGUACUGAGGGCUUCAUCUAUCUAAAAGGAGUCAUUUCCAUCUGAAUGUGGCAGCACCGGGACAUAGCAGCAGAGCGGUAAGCUUCAUAUCACUAUAAAAUGUCGACAAACUUUACUUCAGAUUUACGGGCAUUAGCAGCACUAAAGCGUUAGCAUCCGGCUUGCUAUCGCUAGCACAGUAUGCUAGUAAAGUUAGCACCCAGAUUAAUGUGGAUUUGGCUGAUUUCCGUGGAAUAAAACGUGAUUUCUGAUCAACGCCUUCUUUUACACCAGAUGAUAACCUCCCACUGAUUGUAACAGCAGAGAGCCUGUGUGUUACUCUACGUGAGUGUGAUGUAAUCUUAGCAUCCAGUACAUAAAGUCCCAUAUCAGCUAAAAUGCAGCGUGACAAAGUCAUUAAAGUGCGUCAACACAGUGGAUUUAAUAGAGUUUUAAAGAACGAUCUCUGGAGUGGAGUGAGGUUAGUUUUUUGUCUCACUGCAGAUAUAAAAACUAACUCUGCAUCAGUCAGAUGCAGCAAAGCUCACCGUCUGUAUGAGCGUGAGCGUCGGAAAGCUGAUAAAAUCGGCUGUAAAAUAAUUAAAACAAAAGUAAAAAUGUUCCUUUGCUUUUUAGAGUCAACAUCCAGAAGACUGGAGCCGUGUUUCACUGACAGGCAGUCAGACUAACGCCCUGAUGAGCUCAGCUGGGACAAACUGGUCUGAUGUUUAGGAACACAGAACGUUCAGAUGUUGGCGUUUCACGUCACCUACUGAGGAAGGAGACCCACCAGUAAAGAGACGGUCUGGACCAGGCCAAAAAAAUGGCGAUGACAUCAUGGAACUGGUCUUUGGAAAAGUUUUCCCUGAACCAACUCCGUUUCUAGAUGAGGUAGAGAAGAUCUGCAUCUCACCAACCCUCUGGUCUCAGUAUUCAGACAACGGAGGUCUCCCACUGUUAUCCAGGACCAGUUUGAAGCCCACAUACUGCCCCUCCCUCAUCAUCAGGAAACAUCAAUCCGUAUCCUGAGGACAACAGAAGACGGCAGGAGGACAGGAACUCUGAGACCUAGACACCACCAGCACCGAGACACAAAGCACCUGUGUGCACAACGCCUGUUUAACUACUAAAACCUGUUUAUUAUAUUGUUCUACUUAUUUGCUGUGAGGUUAAUACUUAGAAAAUUUGUAUAUUAAUGUAAACAAUAAAAAAAAUCACUGAUUGUAUGUUUUCUUUUAGAUGUAAUGGUCCAAACUCAGCCUUGUAGACAUUUAUUGCAUCCUGUAGGUAAAUACACAGAACAGGCUCAGAUCCAGGAUGACCCAGCAUGCUCUUCUUCCAUUCUGGCUGUUAGGGAUUUUAUCAAUAACUCAAUGCCUCCUGAUGUUUCCACCUAACGGUAUUUAUUUAGAAUGCAGGUAAGAUUUAACUAUAUUUGUUAGCAAAGCAGACUGAUCUUGGGAAUUUCACUGCAGCACUGAUGUCCACCUCUCUGUACACAUUAGAGAAUUACCACUUUACAGCUAAACACAUUUAAUAAAGAUAUAGGCUACGCAUUGCAGACAAUAAAAACAAAGUUGUAAGCAUUAGAAUUAUAAUCACAUUAAAGAACAUUUGGAGGAAUGUUCUUUAUUUUUGACUAGAAUCUCAAAUCUUUAAAUUAAAAUGUAACUGCUUUUUAUCCAUUUUCAGCCAUUAAGACACCCAAUAUAAAAUAAGACUACUUAUA